Molecule: ribosomal RNA, 468 nt
Filed under: uncultured bacterium
Lineage: Bacteria
Description: partial 16S ribosomal RNA
Rfam family: Bacterial small subunit ribosomal RNA
Source: RNAcentral
GACGAACGCUGGCGGCGUGCUUAACACAUGCAAGUCGAACGGAAAGGCCCUGCUUUUGCGGCGUGCUCGAGUGGCGAACGGGUGAGUAACACGUGAGUAACCUGUCCUUGACUUUGGGGUAACUUCAGGAAACAGCGGCUCAUACCGGAUAGGAGCUCCUGCUGCAUGGUGGGCGUUGGUAAGUUUCGGCGGUUGGGGAUGGACUCGCGGCUUAUCCGCUUGUUGGUGGGGUAGUUGCUUACCAAGGCUUUGACGGGUAGCCGGCCUUGGAGGGUGAACGGGGUCAAGGGGACUGCGGUACGGACCAGUAGCCAACGGGAGGCAGCGGGGGGGAAUAUGACACAGUGGGGGGAAGCGAGAUGCAGCAACGCCGGGAGCGGAAUGCCGGCCUUCGGGUUGUAAACCGCUUUCGCCUGUGACGAAGCGUGAGUGACGGUAAUGGGUAAAGAAGCACCGGCUAACUACGUG